This 305-nucleotide ribosomal RNA is filed under the name uncultured bacterium. RNAcentral's name for it is "bacterial SSU rRNA". It matches the Rfam family "Bacterial small subunit ribosomal RNA", at positions 334 to 655 of the family's 1533-position model. The record is from RNAcentral.
UUUUCCUACGGGGCGCAGCAGUGGGGAAUAUUGCACAAUGGGGGAAACCCUGAUGCAGCAACGCCGCGUGAGUGAAGAAGUAUUUCGGUAUGUAAAGCUCUAUCAGUAGGGAAGAAGAAAGACGGUACCUGACUAAGAAGCCCCGGCUAACUACGUGCCAGCAGCCGCGGUAAUAUGUAGGGGGCAAGCGUUAUCCGGAUUUACUGGGUGUAAAGGGAGCGCAGACGGCAGUGCAAGUCUGGAGUGAAAGCCCGGGGCCCAACCCCGGAACUGCUCUGGAAACUGUGCGGCUAGAGUACUGGAGG